This 229-nucleotide ribosomal RNA is filed under the name uncultured bacterium. RNAcentral's name for it is "partial 16S ribosomal RNA". It matches the Rfam family "Bacterial small subunit ribosomal RNA", at positions 32 to 255 of the family's 1533-position model. The record is from RNAcentral.
AAUCAACGCUGGCGGCGUGCCUCAGACAUGCAAGUCGAACGAUUAAACUUUCCUUCGGGAAAGAUAUAAAGUGGCGCACGGGUGAGUAACACGUAGGUAAUUGUACCUUUGGGUGGGAUAACCAUCGGAACGAAUGGCUAAUACCGCAUAAUGCAGCGGCAUCGCAAGAUGACAGUUGUUAAAGAUUUAUCGCCUAAAGAGCAGCCUGCGGCAGAUUAGGAGUUGGUAA